GCAUAUCUCUCAUGGACAGCUUUUACUCUUUGGAGGAGAAAUUAGGAGAGAAAAUCUUUUCUGGAUAUUAUGGAUUGAAUUGUAUCCUCCCCACUCGCUCCAAAUUUCUGUGUUGAUAUCUUAACAGCCCCGACUCCAGCACCUCUGAAUGGGACCUUACAUGCAAAUACCAUUGUUGGCAGUUAAGAUCAGGUCACACUGCCCCAUGAGGAUGGGCUCCUAAUCCAACAUGACUGAUGAUCUUAUAAAAAAAACACCGUGUGAAGAGACAGAGACACACAGAGAGAAGAAUACUGCCUACACAGAAGGUGUGGAUCAGAUUCUGCCUUGGAGCCCUCAGGAGGAACCUGCAGGUCUCAGACUUCUAGACUCCAGAACUGAGUGCAUUGUCCAUUGUUUAAGCCAUCAAGUUCGUAGUACUUUGUAACAGCUGCCCAGCAAACUAAUACAGACUUGAGUAUUGGUCAAUGAGGAGGCCUGUGGCCAGGAACAACCUGUAACAUUGAACAGUGGACAUUAUUAACUCUCCAAGCAACAUGCUCCGUGCCAGGUGACCCUGGUGACCCUGGUGAUGAAACUGAACCUGACAGAAUGACAAGAUGGAAAACCCAUCUCAAAAAAGAGAACAAGAGGCAGUACUGACUGCCAGGGACCUAAUCAGUGUGGAUAUAAAUGUCAGAACUAGAGUUCAGAAUAACAAUUAUGAAGAUACUAAGUUGGGCUUGAAAACAGCAGAGAGGACGUGAGAUAAUCCCUUUUUGGAGAAAUAAAAGAACUACAAUCUCAUCAAGUCAAAAAUCAAAAAGACUAUUAAUGAGAUGCAAUCAAAUGGAGGCUCUAACUGUUAGGAUAAAUGAAGAAGAACAGAGAAUCAGUGAUAUAAAGGACAAAAUGAUGGAGAAUAAAGAACCUGAGAAAAAGAGAGAGAAACAACUACUGGAUCACAAGGGGAGAAUCUGAGAGAUAACCUUGACCAUAAAGCAAAAGCACAUUAGAAUAAUUGGGGUCUCAGAAGAAGAGGAAAGAGAUGAGGGGCAGAAGGUAUAUUGGAGCAAAUUAAAUCAGAGAACUUCCCUAAUAUGGGGAAGGAAGCAGGUGUUCAAGUCCAGGAGGCACAGAGAAACCCCCGCAAAUCAUUAAAACUAGGUCAGCACCUUGACGUUUAAUAGUGAAGCUUGCAAAUCUCAGAACCAAAAAGAAAAUCCUGAAAGCAGCUCAGGACAAGUCUAUAAUCUACGUAGAAACAUUAGACUGGCCGCAGACCUAUCCCCAGACACCUGGCAGGCCAGAAAGGACUGUCAUGAUAUAUUCAGGGUGCUAAAUGAGAAAAAUACGCAGCCAAGAAUACUUUGUCUAGCAGGGUUGUCAUUCAAAAUAGAAGGAGAGAGAAAGGGCUUCCAGGACCAACAGAAUCUAAGAGAGUUUGUGAUCAUGAUACUAGCCCUGCAAGACACAUUAAAGGGGAUCCCUUAAGUGAUCCCAAGAGAGCCCAAACCAACACAGAUCAGAAAGGAACAGAGACAAUCCACAGAAACAGUGACUUUACAGGCAAUCCAAUUCUCUAAAUUUCUCCUUUUGAUUGUUACUCUGAAUGUAAGUGGGCUCAAUGCCCCAGUCAAAAGACACAGCGUAUCAGAUUAGAUUAACAAGCAAGACCCAUCAAUAUGCUGUCUGUAAGAGACUCAUUUUAGACCCAAAAACACCUCUGGGUGGAAAAUGAGGGCAUGGCAAACCAUUUGUUAUGCUAAUUGGCAUCAAAAGAACACUGGGGUGGCAGUCCUUAUAUCAGACAGAUUAGAUUUUAAACCAAAGACAGUAAUAAGAGAUCAUACUUAAAGGUCUAUCCAGCAAGAAGAUCUAACAAUUGUAAAUAUGUAUGCCCCUAACAUGGGAGCAGCCAAUUAAAUAAACCAACUAAAAACAAAACUCAACACAUCGACAAUAAUACAGCAAUAGUAGGAGACCUUAACACCCCACUCACUGCAAUAGUAGACUUAACACCCCACUCUUCAUCUAAGCAGAAGAUCAACAAGGAAAUAAGGGCUUUGAAUGAUGCACUGGACCAGAUGGACCUCACAGAUAUAUUCAGAGCAUUCCAUCCAAAAGCAACAGAAUACACGUUUUUCACAAGU
Canis lupus familiaris (dog) is the source of this 2132-nucleotide long non-coding RNA. RefSeq lists it as uncharacterized. NCBI's taxonomy places the organism in Eukaryota, Metazoa, Chordata, Mammalia, Carnivora, Canidae. The transcript is spliced from 3 exons. The record is from RefSeq and is a predicted model, not a curated record.